RNAcentral lists this ribosomal RNA (378 nucleotides) under uncultured Glomeromycotina. RNAcentral's name for it is "SSU rRNA". It matches the Rfam family "Eukaryotic small subunit ribosomal RNA", at positions 569 to 952 of the family's 1831-position model. Lineage: Eukaryota; Fungi; Glomeromycota. The record is from RNAcentral.
AGCAGCCGCGGUAAUUCCAGCUCCAAUAGCGUAUAUUAAAGUUGUUGCAGUUAAAAAGCUCGUAGUUGAAUUUCGGGGUCAGCAGGUCGGUCGUGCCACUGGUAUGUACUGGUCUUGCUGACUCCUCCCUCUUGACGAACCGUAAUGCCAUUAAUUUGGUGUUGCGGGAAAUCAGGACUGUUACUUUGAAAAAUUAGAGUGUUUAAAGCAGGCUUACGCUUGAAUACAUUAGCAUGGAAUAAUGAAAUAGGACGUUCGAUCCUAUUUUGUUGGUUUCUAGGAUUGACGUAAUGAUUAAUAGGGAUAGUUGGGGGCAUUAGUAUUCAAUUGUCAGAGGUGAAAUUCUUGGAUUUAUUGAAGACUAACUACUGCGAAAGC